RNAcentral lists this ribosomal RNA (406 nucleotides) under uncultured bacterium. RNAcentral describes it as "partial 16S ribosomal RNA". It matches the Rfam family "Bacterial small subunit ribosomal RNA", at positions 30 to 526 of the family's 1533-position model. The record is from RNAcentral.
AUUGAACGCUGGCGGCAGGCCUAACACAUGCAAGUCGAACGAGUCGCGGACGGGUUAGUAAUGACUGUGAAUCUGCCUGAUGGAUGGGGUUAACUACUGGAAACUGUAGCUACUACCGCCUACCUGCGGCUGUGCCCGGAUGGGAUUAGCUAGUAGGUGGGGUAAAGGCUCACCUAGGCGACGAUCUCUACCGGGUCGGAGAGGAUGAACAGCCACACUGGAACGGAGACACGGUCCAGACUCCUACGGGAGGCAGCAGUGGGGAAUAUUGCACAAUGGGCGAAAGCCUGAUGCAGCCAUGCCGCGUGUAUGAAGAAGGCCUUCGGGUUGUAAAGUACUUUAAGUGGGGAGGCGUUACCCGCAGAAGAAGCACCGGCUAACUCCGUGCCAGCAGCCGCGGUAAUAC